CGCGAAGAACCUUACCUGGUCUUGACAUCCCUCUGACCGCUCUAGAGAUAGGGCUUUCCUUCGGGACAGAGGUGACAGGUGGUGCAUGGUUGUCGUCAGCUCGUGUCGUGAGAUGUUGGGUUAAGUCCCGCAACGAGCGCAACCCCUAUUGUUAGUUGCCAUCAUUCAGUUGGGCACUCUAGCGAGACUGCCGGUAAUAAACCGGAGGAAGGUGGGGAUGACGUCAAAUCAUCAUGCCCCUUAUGACCUGGGCUACACACGUGCUACAAUGGCUGGUACAACGAGUCGCAAGCCGGUGACGGCAAGCUAAUCUCUUAAAGCCAGUCUCAGUUCGGAUUGUAGGCUGCAACUCGCUUACAUGAAGUCGGAAUCGCUAGUAAUCGCGGAUCAGCACGCCGCGGUGAAUACGUUCCCGGGCCUUGUACACACCGCCCGUC
RNAcentral lists this ribosomal RNA (437 nucleotides) under uncultured Streptococcus sp. RNAcentral describes it as "bacterial SSU rRNA". It matches the Rfam family "Bacterial small subunit ribosomal RNA", at positions 960 to 1398 of the family's 1533-position model. Lineage: Bacteria; Bacillati; Bacillota; Bacilli; Lactobacillales; Streptococcaceae. The record is from RNAcentral.